AAGUCGUAACAAGGUUUCCGUAGGUGAACCUGCGGAAGGAUCAUUGCAAAAAUGAGAUUGUGAGGAUUUGUUGGAAUGUGCGAGAAAUUACGUUAGACAACAAUACUAUUAUAUUCAUAUACAACUCUCCACAAUGGAUCUCUGGGCUCUU
This 151-nucleotide unclassified non-coding RNA is filed under the name fungal sp. Its description in RNAcentral is "partial internal transcribed spacer region". The stretch from base 1 to 46 matches the Rfam family "Eukaryotic small subunit ribosomal RNA", at positions 1786 to 1831 of the family's 1831-position model. Lineage: Eukaryota; Fungi. The record is from RNAcentral.